Theropithecus gelada (gelada) is the source of this 74-nucleotide small nucleolar RNA. Ensembl annotates it as small nucleolar RNA SNORD113/SNORD114 family. Lineage: Eukaryota; Metazoa; Chordata; Mammalia; Primates; Cercopithecidae. The record is from Ensembl.
UGGACCAAUGAUGACCACUGGUGGCGUAUGAGUUAUGCACAUGAAUACCAUGUUUCUAGAAUUCUGAGGUCCAA